RNAcentral lists this long non-coding RNA (1210 nucleotides) under Salmo salar (Atlantic salmon). RNAcentral describes it as "lncRNA (ENSSSAG00000121735.1)". The record is from RNAcentral. Lineage: Eukaryota; Metazoa; Chordata; Actinopteri; Salmoniformes; Salmonidae.
GGGUAGUAAUGGUAAUGAUAGCAGUUUAGUGAUGGUGGUGGUAGUAGUAGUAGUGGUAUGGGUAGUAAUGGUAAUGAUAGCAGUUUAGUGAUGGUGAUAGUAGUAGUAGUGGUAUGGGUAGUAAUGGUAAUGAUAACAGUUUAGUGAUGGUGGUGGUAGUAGUAGUGGUAGUAGUAGUAGUAGUGGUAUGGGUAGUAAUGGUAAUGAUAACAGUUUAGUGGUGGUGGUGGUAGUAGUAGUGGUAUGGGUAGUAAUGGUAAUGAUAGCAGUUUAGUGAUGUGGUGGUGGUAGUAGUAGUAGUGGUAUGGGUAGUAAUGGUAAUGAUAGCAGUUUAGUGAUGGUAGUGGUAGUAGUAGUAGUGGUAUGGGUAGUAAUGGUAAUGAUAACAGUUUAGUGAUGGUGGUGGUAGUAGUAGUAGUGGUAUGGGUAGUAAUGGUAAUGAUAACAGUUUAGUGAUGUGGUGGUAGUAGUAGUGGUAUGGGUAGUAAUGGUAAUGAUAACAGUUUAGUGAUGGUGGUAGUAGUAGUAGUGGUAUGGGUAGUAAUGGUAAUGAUAACAGUUUAGUGAUGGUGGUGGUAGUAGUAGUGGUAUGGGUAGUAAUGGUAAUGAUAGCAGUUUAGUGAUGGUGGUAGUAGUAGUAGUGGUAUGGGUAGUAAUGGUAAUGAUAGCAGUUUAGUGAUGGUAGUAGUAGUAGUAGUGGUAUGGGUAGUAAUGGUAAUGAUAACAUAGUAGUGGUAGUAGUAGUAGUAGUGGUAUGGGUAGUAAUGGUAAUGAUAGCAGUUUAGUGAUGGUGGUGGUAGUAGUAGUAGUGGUAUGGGUAGUAAUGGUAAUGAUAGCAGUUUAGUGAUGGUGGUGGUAGUAGUAGUAGUGGUAUGGGUAGUAAUGGUAAUGAUAAUAGUUUAGUGAUGGUGGUGGUGGUAGUAGUGGUAAUGAUGACAGUAGUUGUAGUACUGAUGUAAUGGUGAAGAUGACCGUUAUUUAGUUAUAAGUUAGUUAUAGAUUCAUUUUCCAUAUUUAGAUUUUUAUAUUUAUUACAUUACAUUCUACUAUUGACUGUUACCAUUUUAUUGUUAUUAUUUUUGUGUUAUUGUUUACUACCAUUUUAUAUUAUUAUUUGUUAUUGUUUAUAAUUGUAUUACAAUGUAUAUUGUAUACAUUGCUGCUUUGGCAAUAUUGACACAAUGUUUUUCAUGCCAAUAAAGCAGCUUGA